This 294-nucleotide ribosomal RNA is filed under the name uncultured bacterium. Its description in RNAcentral is "partial 16S ribosomal RNA". It matches the Rfam family "Bacterial small subunit ribosomal RNA", at positions 335 to 627 of the family's 1533-position model. The record is from RNAcentral.
AGUCCUACGGGAGGCAGCAGUGAGGAAUAUUGGUCAAUGGGCGGGAGCCUGAACCAGCCAAGUCGCGUGAAGGAAGAAGGUACUGAGUAUUGUAAACUUCUUUUGUCGGGGAACAAAGGCGGAGACGCGUCUCCGGAUGAGUGUACCCGAAGAAAAAGCAUCGGCUAACUCCGUGCCAGCAGCCGCGGUAAUACGGAGGAUGCGAGCGUUAUCCGGAUUUAUUGGGUUUAAAGGGUGCGCAGGCGGGAGAUCAAGUUAGCGGUAAAAUGUUGGGGCUCAACCCCGGCGGGCUGU